AUGGCGUUCGGAGAUUAUCCAGCAGAGUAUAAUCCCAAAAUACAUGGGCCAUAUGACCCAGCCCGUUAUUAUGG
Molecule: long non-coding RNA, 74 nt
Filed under: Zootermopsis nevadensis
Lineage: Eukaryota; Metazoa; Arthropoda; Insecta; Blattodea; Termopsidae
Description: sphinx_ conserved region 1
Rfam family: Sphinx_ conserved region 1
Source: RNAcentral